GGUAUGGUAGCACAGUGGGCAGCACUGCUGCCUCGCAAGCAAGAAGAUUGUUGGUUUAAUUCUGACCUGUGACC
Gymnothorax javanicus (giant moray) is the source of this 74-nucleotide non-coding RNA. NCBI's taxonomy places the organism in Eukaryota, Metazoa, Chordata, Actinopteri, Anguilliformes, Muraenidae. The record is from the annotation of a GenBank genome assembly.